CGACGGGCCCCGCACAAGCAGCGGAGCGUUGUGGUUUAAUUCGUUGCUACACGAAGAACCUUUACCUGGGUUUGACAUAAUGGUGGUAGGGAUCCGAAAGGUGACCGACCUUCGGGGAGCCAUUUACAGGUGUUGCAUGGCUGUCGUCAGCUCGUGUCGUGAGAUGUUCGGUUAAGUCCGCUAACGAGCGCAACCCUCGCUGUGUGUUAUAUGUGUCACACAGGACUGCUGGUAUUAAGCCGGAGGAAGUGGGACGACGUCAAGUCAGCAUGACCUUUAUAUCCAGGGCUACACACACGCUACAAUGGUCAGUACAAUGGGUUACCAAGCCGCGAGGCGGAGCCAAUCCUAAAAAGCUGGCCUCAGUUCAGAUUGCAGUCUGAAACUCGACUGCAUGAAGUCGGAGUUGCUAGUAAACGCAGGUCAGCUAUACUGCGUUGAAUACGUUCCCGGGGCUU
RNAcentral lists this ribosomal RNA (458 nucleotides) under uncultured Anaerolineaceae bacterium. Its description in RNAcentral is "bacterial SSU rRNA". It matches the Rfam family "Bacterial small subunit ribosomal RNA", at positions 916 to 1381 of the family's 1533-position model. Lineage: Bacteria; Bacillati; Chloroflexota; Anaerolineae; Anaerolineales; Anaerolineaceae. The record is from RNAcentral.